Molecule: ribosomal RNA, 580 nt
Filed under: uncultured bacterium
Lineage: Bacteria
Description: bacterial SSU rRNA
Rfam family: Bacterial small subunit ribosomal RNA
Source: RNAcentral
CCAGACUCCUACGGGAGGCAGCAGUGGGGAAUAUUGGACAAUGGACCGAGAGUCUGAUCCAGCAAUUCUGUGUGCACGAUGAAGUUUUUCGGAAUGUAAAGUGCUUUCAGUUGGGAAGAAAGAAAUGACGGUACCAACAGAAGAAGUGACGGCUAAAUACGUGCCAGCAGCCGCGGUAAUACGUAUGUCACGAGCGUUAUCCGGAUUUAUUGGGCGUAAAGCGCGUCUAGGUGGUUAUAUAAGUCUGAUGUGAAAAUGCAGGGCUCAACUCUGUAUUGCGUUGGAAACUGUAUAACUAGAGUACUGGAGAGGUAAGCGGAACUACAAGUGUAGAGGUGAAAUUCGUAGAUAUUUGUAGGAAUGCCGAUGGGGAAGCCAGCUUACUGGACAGAUACUGACGCUGAAGCGCGAAAGCGUGGGUAGCAAACAGGAUUAGAUACCCUGGUAGUCCACGCUGUAAACGAUGAUUACUAGGUGUUGGGGGUCGAACCUCAGCGCCCAAGCAAACGCGAUAAGUAAUCCGCCUGGGGAGUACGUACGCAAGUAUGAAACUCAAAGGAAUUGACGGGGCCCGCACAAG